UGGCGGCCAUAGCGCGGUGGCACCACCUGAACCCAUGCCGAACUCAGAAGUGAAACGCCGUAGCGCCGAUGGUAGUGUGGGGUCUCCCCAUGCGAGAGUAGGACACUGCCAGGCA
RNAcentral lists this ribosomal RNA (115 nucleotides) under Yersinia enterocolitica. Lineage: Bacteria; Pseudomonadati; Pseudomonadota; Gammaproteobacteria; Enterobacterales; Yersiniaceae. RNAcentral also lists the same sequence under 2 other names. The record is from RNAcentral.